This 798-nucleotide ribosomal RNA is filed under the name Streptomyces sp. 11-16. RNAcentral's name for it is "bacterial SSU rRNA". It matches the Rfam family "Bacterial small subunit ribosomal RNA", at positions 56 to 866 of the family's 1533-position model. RNAcentral also lists the same sequence under 2 other names. Lineage: Bacteria; Bacillati; Actinomycetota; Actinomycetes; Kitasatosporales; Streptomycetaceae. The record is from RNAcentral.
UGCAAGUCGAACGAUGAACCUCCUUCGGGAGGGGAUUAGUGGCGAACGGGUGAGUAACACGUGGGCAAUCUGCCCUGCACUCUGGGACAAGCCCUGGAAACGGGGUCUAAUACCGGAUACUGACCCGCUUGGGCAUCCAAGCGGUUCGAAAGCUCCGGCGGUGCAGGAUGAGCCCGCGGCCUAUCAGCUUGUUGGUGAGGUAAUGGCUCACCAAGGCGACGACGGGUAGCCGGCCUGAGAGGGCGACCGGCCACACUGGGACUGAGACACGGCCCAGACUCCUACGGGAGGCAGCAGUGGGGAAUAUUGCACAAUGGGCGAAAGCCUGAUGCAGCGACGCCGCGUGAGGGAUGACGGCCUUCGGGUUGUAAACCUCUUUCAGCAGGGAAGAAGCGAAAGUGACGGUACCUGCAGAAGAAGCGCCGGCUAACUACGUGCCAGCAGCCGCGGUAAUACGUAGGGCGCGAGCGUUGUCCGGAAUUAUUGGGCGUAAAGAGCUCGUAGGCGGCUUGUCACGUCGGUUGUGAAAGCCCGGGGCUUAACCCCGGGUCUGCAGUCGAUACGGGCAGGCUAGAGUUCGGUAGGGGAGAUCGGAAUUCCUGGUGUAGCGGUGAAAUGCGCAGAUAUCAGGAGGAACACCGGUGGCGAAGGCGGAUCUCUGGGCCGAUACUGACGCUGAGGAGCGAAAGCGUGGGGAGCGAACAGGAUUAGAUACCCUGGUAGUCCACGCCGUAAACGGUGGGCACUAGGUGUGGGCGACAUUCCACGUCGUCCGUGCCGCAGCUAACGCAUUAAGUG